UUAACACAUGCAAGUCGAACGAACAUAUGCGGGCUUUAGCUCACAUAUGUUUAGUGGCAGACGGGUGAGAAACGCGUGGGAACGUACCCUAAAGUUCGGAAUAACUAUUGGAAACGAUAGCUAAUACCGGAUGUGACCGAGAGGUUAAAGGUUUACCGCUUUGGGAGCGGCCCGCGUUAGAUUAGCUAGUUGGUGGGGUAAAGGCCUACCAAGGCGAUGAUCUAUAGCUGGUCUGAGAGGAUGACCAGCCACACUGGGACUGAGACACGGCCCAGACUCC
This 280-nucleotide ribosomal RNA is filed under the name unidentified marine bacterioplankton. RNAcentral describes it as "partial 16S ribosomal RNA". It matches the Rfam family "Bacterial small subunit ribosomal RNA", at positions 48 to 339 of the family's 1533-position model. RNAcentral also lists the same sequence under 1 other name. The record is from RNAcentral.